This 518-nucleotide ribosomal RNA is filed under the name uncultured bacterium. Its description in RNAcentral is "bacterial SSU rRNA". It matches the Rfam family "Bacterial small subunit ribosomal RNA", at positions 501 to 1016 of the family's 1533-position model. The record is from RNAcentral.
CUACGUGCCAGCAGCCGCGGUAAUACGUAGGUGGCAAGCGUUGUCCGGAAUUAUUGGGCGUAAAGCGCGCGCAGGUGGUUUAAUAAGUCUGAUGUGAAAGCCCACGGCUCAACCGUGGAGGGUCAUUGGAAACUGUUAAACUUGAGUGCAGGAGAGAAAAGUGGAAUUCCUAGUGUAGCGGUGAAAUGCGUAGAGAUUAGGAGGAACACCAGUGGCGAAGGCGGCUUUUUGGCCUGUAACUGACACUGAGGCGCGAAAGCGUGGGGAGCAAMCAGGAUUAGAUACCCUGGUAGUCCACGCCGUAAACGAUGAGUGCUAGGUGUUAGACCCUUUCCGGGGUUUAGUGCCGUAGCUAACGCAUUAAGCACUCCGCCUGGGGAGUACGACCGCAAGGUUGAAACUCAAAGGAAUUGACGGGGGCCCGCACAAGCGGUGGAGCAUGUGGUUUAAUUCGAAGCAACGCGAAGAACCUUACCAGGUCUUGACAUCCCUCUGACCGCUCUAGAGAUAGAGUUUUC